GACGAACGCUGGCGGCGUGCUUAACACAUGCAAGUCGAACGGAAAGGCCCUGCUUUUGUGGGGUGCUCGAGUGGCGAACGGGUGAGUAACACGUGAGUAACCUGCCCUUGACUUUGGGAUAACUUCAGGAAACUGGGGCUAAUACCGGAUAGGAGCUCCUGCUGCAUGGUGGGGGUUGGAAAGUUUCGGCGGUUGGGGAUGGACUCGCGGCUUAUCAGCUUGUUGGUGGGGUAGUGGCUUACCAAGGCUUUGACGGGUAGCCGGCCUGAGAGGGUGACCGGCCACAUUGGGACUGAGAUACGGCCCAGACUCCUACGGGAGGCAGCAGUGGGGAAUAUUGCACAAUGGGCGGAAGCCUGAUGCAGCAACGCCGCGUGCGGGAUGACGGUCUUCGGGUUGUAAACCGCUUUCGCCUGUGACGAAGCGUGAGUGACGGUAAUGGGUAAAGAAGCGCCGGCUAACUACGUG
RNAcentral lists this ribosomal RNA (468 nucleotides) under uncultured bacterium. Its description in RNAcentral is "partial 16S ribosomal RNA". It matches the Rfam family "Bacterial small subunit ribosomal RNA", at positions 28 to 507 of the family's 1533-position model. The record is from RNAcentral.